AAAUUGAAGAGUUUGAUCAUGGCUCAGAUUGAACGCUGGCGGCAGGCCUAACACAUGCAAGUCGAACGGUAACAGGAAGCAGCUUGCUGCUUCGCUGACGAGUGGCGGACGGGUGAGUAAUGUCUGGGAAACUGCCUGAUGGAGGGGGAUAACUACUGGAAACGGUGGCUAAUACCGCAUAACGUCGCAAGACCAAAGAGGGGGACCUUCGGGCCUCUUGCCAUCAGAUGUGCCCAGAUGGGAUUAGCUGGUAGGUGGGGUAACGGCUCACCUAGGCGACGAUCCCUAGCUGGUCUGAGAGGAUGACCAGCCACACUGGAACUGAGACACGGUCCAGACUCCUACGGGAGGCAGCAGUGGGGAAUAUUGCACAAUGGGCGCAAGCCUGAUGCAGCCAU
Molecule: ribosomal RNA, 398 nt
Filed under: Salmonella enterica
Lineage: Bacteria; Pseudomonadati; Pseudomonadota; Gammaproteobacteria; Enterobacterales; Enterobacteriaceae
Description: bacterial SSU rRNA
Rfam family: Bacterial small subunit ribosomal RNA
Source: RNAcentral